AUGUACGUGCGAUCCUUACUAAGGCCCCGAGGGAGGAUCUUCGUAAGGCCCGCCACGUUGAGAUGCCCGGCAUUAACCCCGGCAUUACGUUCCGCGUACAACAAUAGUGGAACCUGAGCUAGUUUCGCAGACGGAAUCUUUCCUGAGUCCUGUAGAAGACCAACCGCGAGAUCUGUAUGCAUGAGAAACUUCACGUAGAGAGCGCAUGGGUCUCGUACGAAGAUCAUGUCCAGGUUACGCGUUAUCUUCCUGAUCGACGCGAACCUUGAGUAUUCAUUUCAUUCGAGGUUUAUCGUCGCUGAAACGUUGACGUGUUUGAAUUAAAUGGCGGGAGCUGAGAUUUGUCCGAUGCAAGAGAUGUCAGGGUAAUGGACAACCAGGUUGUCGUUAGUUCUUAGUACUACGUGGAGGAAGUGAAGGAACGGGCGAAAGGGUUAUGAGGAAUUUGCAUAUGGUGAUAUGGCGCGCGAUUAGAAACGAGCAGUGGUGAAAGGUAGCUAAGUAGAUGGAUAGAUAUGCGGUUGGGUUAGGUUAGGGUUAGGUUGGAUAAAGGAAACAAGAAACAGAACUUUCCGUUAGAGCGCCGUGAAAAGUUUUAUAGAUGGACAAGAAACGUAAAAAAAGAAUAUGGCGGAUGCGCCUAAGGAAACAAAGGCUGACAGCACCGUUGCCGAAGAUUACGCUAGCAGAACGAACAGUCUGAUAUUAAUUAGCACUGACAUUAAAUAGAUACGUUAGCAGUUGUAGUACCCGGCGUGUCCAGCUACCCGGGUAAUUAACGAUCUGGGAUAAGAUCUGUGUUGUCGGGAGUAAGCAGUGAGCUAGAAUAUAGUAUAUCUUGUGAGACAUAUACUGGUAUAUAUUCUUAGGUUAUGUACCUGUAGGAUACUGAAGGAAGCGAAGCUCAUAAUUGAAGAAAAUAAAAUUGCUACAAGGAAAAGAUUUGCCUUUAGGCUCCAUGGCAAGAUACAAUACACAAUGCAUCAUCGUCUAUAAGAGAAUCCAGUGACAGCAGCAAAUAACAGAUUGGCAAAGUUUCAAAAGGUCACGCGGACGUCCCUAAGGGUCACGCCUUGUAAAAUUCAGGUUCCCCUUCCGUGUGCGGAUCGAGAUUCAAUUUGUACAAUUGGAGAAGAUUUCUUAUAUGAGGAUUUUGUUACUAUUCUUUAAACAUACUUUUUAUUUACUUAUCCAAAGAG
This is a long non-coding RNA of Cephus cinctus (wheat stem sawfly), 1199 nucleotides long. RefSeq lists it as uncharacterized. The record is from RefSeq and is a predicted model, not a curated record. NCBI's taxonomy places the organism in Eukaryota, Metazoa, Arthropoda, Insecta, Hymenoptera, Cephidae. The transcript is spliced from 3 exons.